GGAAGGAAUAAAAGAACUCUGGUUGCUAGGUAACUUGAGUAUGCUGGUAGUUCACAGAUGUCAUCCCACGUGACAUGUGACCAGAGGCUUAGGAGUAUAGCUAAGCAUAAUGACAAUGAUUUAUUAGCUUUACAAAAACUAGAAUACUUUUGUAAGAAAUAGCAUGCUCUUUCCUCUAUUUCUUUCUCUGAAAGCCACAGCAAUCAACAGAGAGAACAAAAAGUAUAGAACUCACAUUUUCAAGAAAUAAGGAAUUGGCUAAACCUCUAGAAUACAGCCUUUCAAGAAGACAGCCAAAUAUGAUGUACCUUGGGCCAAAUGAAGGGAAUCAUUAACAGCCAGGGUGCAGUUCCAGGUUGGCCAGAAGGAAGUGUCAGCAAAGAAGGUGCCUUGGACAGUGAGGUUACUGAAAAUAUUAAAAAGAAG
RNAcentral lists this long non-coding RNA (426 nucleotides) under Fukomys damarensis (Damara mole-rat). RNAcentral's name for it is "lncRNA (ENSFDAG00000027029.1)". The record is from RNAcentral. Lineage: Eukaryota; Metazoa; Chordata; Mammalia; Rodentia; Bathyergidae.